Molecule: ribosomal RNA, 262 nt
Filed under: Ruminococcus flavefaciens
Lineage: Bacteria; Bacillati; Bacillota; Clostridia; Eubacteriales; Oscillospiraceae
Description: partial 23S ribosomal RNA
Rfam family: Bacterial large subunit ribosomal RNA
Source: RNAcentral
UAUUUGAAAGGAGCUGUCCCUAGUACGAGAGGACCGGGAUGGACGCACCGCUGGUGCACCAGUUGUCAUGCCAAUGGCACAGCUGGGCAGCUAAGUGCGGAACGGAUAAACGCUGAAGGCAUCUAAGCGUGAAGCCGACCUUAAGAUAAGAUAUCCCUUCGUAAGAGUAAGACCUCUCAUAGACUAUGAGUUUGAUAGGCUCAAAGUGUAAGCGUGGUGACACGUUCAGCUUGCGAGUACUAAUCGGUCGAGGGCUUUUCCU